UACGUAGGGGGCAAGCGUUGUCCGGAUUUACUGGGCGUAAAGAGCGUGUAGGCGGCCACGCAGGUCCGUUGUGAAAACUGGAGGCUCAACCUCCAGCUGUCGACGGAAACCGUAUGGCUAGAGUCCGGGAGAGGAGAGUGGAAUUCCUGGUGUAGCGGUGAAAUGCGCAGAUAUCAGGAAGAACACCAAUGGCGAAGGCAGCUCUCUGGGACGGUACUGACGCUGAGACGCGAAAGCGUGGGGAGCGAACAGG
Molecule: ribosomal RNA, 253 nt
Filed under: uncultured bacterium
Lineage: Bacteria
Description: partial 16S ribosomal RNA
Rfam family: Bacterial small subunit ribosomal RNA
Source: RNAcentral